Molecule: ribosomal RNA, 601 nt
Filed under: fungal endophyte
Lineage: Eukaryota; Fungi
Description: eukaryotic LSU rRNA
Rfam family: 5.8S ribosomal RNA (bases 176-329)
Source: RNAcentral
UUACUGAGUUUACGCUCUACAACCCUUUGUGAACAUACCUAUAACUGUUGCUUCGGCGGGUAGGGUCUCCGUGACCCUCCCGGCCUCCCGCCCCCGGGCGGGUCGGCGCCCGCCGGAGGAUAACCAAACUCUGAUUUAACGACGUUUCUUCUGAGUGGUACAAGCAAAUAAUCAAAACUUUUAACAACGGAUCUCUUGGUUCUGGCAUCGAUGAAGAACGCAGCGAAAUGCGAUAAGUAAUGUGAAUUGCAGAAUUCAGUGAAUCAUCGAAUCUUUGAACGCACAUUGCGCCCGCCAGCAUUCUGGCGGGCAUGCCUGUUCGAGCGUCAUUUCAACCCUCAAGCUCUGCUUGGUGUUGGGGCCCUACGGCUGACGUAGGCCCUCAAAGGUAGUGGCGGACCCUCCCGGAGCCUCCUUUGCGUAGUAACUUUACGUCUCGCACUGGGAUCCGGAGGGACUCUUGCCGUAAAACCCCCAAUUUUCCAAAGGUUGACCUCGGAUCAGGUAGGAAUACCCGCUGAACUUAAGCAUAUCAAUAAGCGGAGGAAAAGAAACCAACAGGGAUUGCCUCAGUAACGGCGAGUGAAGCGGCAACAGCUCA